GAGUGUGCGAUCAUAAGAGUAGCUGGGUAUAUCCUAAUUCCGAAAAAUUUUGAAAAAAAAUUAUAUAUUUUCUUUGAGUCUUUAUUUAAUAUAUAAAUUUUAUAUAAAUUUAAUAUUUCGCCGAUCGCUUAUGGCGGUUGACCGAUUUUUAAGAUGAAUUUAUAGAUAAGUAGAUAAGAUAUAUUACUUAUCUCUAUAUAUAUUUAAUCACUAUCUUUUUAUUUAAAAUAAAUUUUAAUUUUAAAGCAAGUAAGAUUUUAACUAUAUCGAGGAUAGGUGUAAUAAAUAAAAUUCACAUUUUCUAAUCUUCUGCGCACUCGUUCAAUCG
Molecule: ribosomal RNA, 328 nt
Filed under: Arthrobotrys sp.
Lineage: Eukaryota; Fungi; Ascomycota; Orbiliomycetes; Orbiliales; Orbiliaceae
Description: partial large subunit ribosomal RNA
Source: RNAcentral